AAUCUGGCUCCCAUUUUGAACUCCCCCCAAAAAAAAUUCUAAUAAACAACAGCAAAACUCUAGACAAACAAAUCAAAACCCUAGCUUCCAAUUUCACACCAAUGAUUUCCAACUCUUCGACCACCAUCGUUCCUCUGCCCCUCUAUCUCCUAUCUUACGUUUGUCAGAUUAUACAACGAAGUCCCUAAAUACAGCAAAGGAAGAAUCAAUGGAGUCCGUGACGGAGGCAAUGAGAUCUGCUUCGGUAAAUCAUACAACCCAUGAUUCCAUGAACGUUCUUCGUUUGUUGUGGUGUGUUUCCAUUCAAGUUCGGUCGAGUCAACACAACACCGACUCUGUCAGCUCUCUUUUGUCCAACUUUUUAGGCUCACAUUUCAUCUAUCGGUCGAAUCAAUGGAGUCUGACGGAGGCAUGAGUGUAACGAUCUUUAGGUAGUUACGCUUAAUCGUCUCGUUGUUUUUGAGAGUUACUUCGAUUAACUUGAUUUUGCAACGAUUGUAAUUUGCGUGAUGAACACUACCUUGUUAACUUUUUGAGUCUAGAGCUGGUGAUGGCUUCAAUAAUGCAACAGGGAGAUUGAAACUUGUAUUGAGUGUUCUGCAGCUAAUCUUGUACAGGAGCUGGCUCAAAUGAGGCAUCGUCUUAGAGGGCUAACGUGAUCCGCAAGCACAUGCAAGAAAUAUAUACGCCACAACAAGCCUGGUAGGAUUUUGGUAUAAUUGAGACCCAAGGAAACAGGAAACAUCUGAAGAACAUGGUCCUUGGUCUCCCUUGACUCCCAGCUAACGGGGCACCAGAAAGCACACGUCUUUGCCCAUCAAUAUUAUGGAUUGGUGUUAGGCCUUCUAGAUUUGGUUCUGUAUUUACAAUACAACCUUGGAGUGGUGUUACACCUGCAAUGGUUUAAACAAUUCCAAAGUUGUCACCGUAGGUACACUAAUUCUUGGCAUGCUUACAAGUGUUUAAUUAGUUUUAUAUGAUGCUCCACGUGCUGGUUCUUUGACAUCAUUCCUAUCCCCUCAUCUUAUCCGAGAGAAGGUGAGCGAUCACCAUUUCUAGAAUCGGAGGAACUGGAAUCAGGCAAAGGCAAGAAACAAGUGGAAGCAUAACCAGUGAGUUAUUCGUACACGUUUUUUCAUAUGACAUUUGCAUUGGCGAGCAUGUAUUCAGACAUGCUUUUAUUGGGAUUGAGUAGUUCAGAAAGCUCGGAUCUCGUUGAUGUCGGGUAGCUGGUCAUUGAUUGAAUUGUUCACAACUUGAAUCUGGUGGCUGGUCAUUGAUUUUGCAAUCAAAUCUUGGAGCAUUCCACAAAGACAAAACGACUUGAUAUAAAUUUGCAGCACUUUCAAGUGUAAAAGAAAUGAGUAUAUUGAUUUGAAGACAACAACCUAGAAUUAGUUCUUAGUUUAUGUGUAGAGGCAUUCCCUUUGCAACUUUGGUAGAUAGGUUUUGAUUAGAAGUUUGUCUUUAAAUAGUAUUUUGAAAACUUAUGUAUGGAUUUUGGCUUAUUAUUGUUAAUAUCAUUUGGUCUUUAGAUUUUCUCA
Helianthus annuus (common sunflower) is the source of this 1544-nucleotide long non-coding RNA. RefSeq lists it as uncharacterized. Lineage: Eukaryota; Viridiplantae; Streptophyta; Magnoliopsida; Asterales; Asteraceae. The record is from RefSeq and is a predicted model, not a curated record. The transcript is spliced from 5 exons.